AGAACGUAGCGAAAUGCGAUACUUGGUGUGAAUUGCAGAAUCCCGUGAACCAUCGAGUCUUUGAACGCAAGUUGCGCCUGAAGCCAUUAGGUUGAGGGCACGCCUGCCUGGGUGUCA
This 117-nucleotide ribosomal RNA is filed under the name Indigofera cassioides. Its description in RNAcentral is "5.8S ribosomal RNA". It matches the Rfam family "5.8S ribosomal RNA", at positions 40 to 154 of the family's 154-position model. From Rfam's summary of the family: 5.8S ribosomal RNA (5.8S rRNA) is a component of the large subunit of the eukaryotic ribosome. It is transcribed by RNA polymerase I as part of the 45S precursor that also contains 18S and 28S rRNA. Lineage: Eukaryota; Viridiplantae; Streptophyta; Magnoliopsida; Fabales; Fabaceae. The record is from RNAcentral.